GGGGUCAGGUAGAGGAGACUGGUUUCAUUUGUGCCACAGCAUGGUCAUUGCAGCCUUGUGCUCCCCCAGGCUUGCAGCCACCUGGGGCCCAAGUCGCAGUGAGCAGGGUGAGGUCUGGGAGGUGGGGAGACACAGGAAUGGGUCAUAUAGGAGCAGCUCUUGGACUGAGCACAGCAAUGGAGAGCCAGCAAUGGGCAGCUCUCCCAGGGAGUGAGCAGCUACUGUAACUUUUUUAAAUUAAGACAAAAAGCCUUGAAGAAAAUGACUUUAUUUUUCUAAGUGUAACCUCAGUAUUUAUGUAAUUUGUACAGGGCCAUGCCCUACCCCCCUUAGAACCCGCUUGGGGACCUUGAGGGUGGGCUAGCAUAGGGGGAGGGUGUUUUACCCUGUGUCAGAGCCAGCCUAAACCACCUGCAUCCAGUAAAGGAGUUUUCUCAGAAUGGCAGUUGGGGUGGAGUGUCUCAUUAAGCCCUUGCUACUGCCCUCAGUAGGCACAGCCUGCUUCUGCGGUUAGGUUGAGGGGUGGGGAGGGAUUUUGUACUGCCUAGGUAUUUUGGGGACGAUCUGCUGAUGGGUUUGAGACCCCCCCCCCAACCUCACAUGCCACCAUUCUGGGCUUUCUCCUAGAAAUAACUGGGGCCUUGGGUAGCUUUCAAGACUGGGGCUUGGUAAAUCAGGGGCCAGAGUGGGGGAGCCUGGGACUCAGGUCUGUAACUGCCCAGCCCAUUGCUCUGCUCUUGCUUCACUCCACUGCCACUCACUACCACUCCCCCAACACAUGGGAGAGAUGUUAAUUCCUCCCCACAAAAGAUAGAUCCAGUGAGUGAAUCAGGCAAAGUGCUUAUAAUGUGUGCUGUGUGACUGUGGCCUUGGGAGACCCUGCUUGUCAGGAUUGAGGUGACAUUUCUAUGUGCAGCGACCCUUGGUGUUUCCUUCCUAAGUGGCUCUGGGGUGUGUGUAUGCUUGUAUUUGAGUGAGUGUCUAUGUGUGAAUGUGGGGUGUAUGUGGGUAUAUCAGUGGUUUCUACUUCUCCUGGGAUGUUGACCCAGGAAUAGUGGACAUGGUCACAUCCUAUGUACAGAGCUUUCUUUUGUAUUAAAAAAAAA
RNAcentral lists this long non-coding RNA (1106 nucleotides) under Cricetulus griseus (Chinese hamster). RNAcentral's name for it is "lncRNA (ENSCGRG00015039657.1)". The record is from RNAcentral. Lineage: Eukaryota; Metazoa; Chordata; Mammalia; Rodentia; Cricetidae.